RNAcentral lists this ribosomal RNA (492 nucleotides) under uncultured bacterium. Its description in RNAcentral is "partial 16S ribosomal RNA". It matches the Rfam family "Bacterial small subunit ribosomal RNA", at positions 29 to 507 of the family's 1533-position model. The record is from RNAcentral.
AGUGAACGCUGGCGGUAGGCCUAACACAUGCAAGUCGAACGGCAGCACAGAAAGAGCUUGCUCUUACGGGUGGCGAGUGGCGGACGGGUGAGGAAUACAUCGGAAUCUACUUUUUCGUGGGGGAUAACGUAGGGAAACUUACGCUAAUACCGCAUACGACCUACGGGUGAAAGCAGGGGAUCUUCGGACCUUGCGCGAUUGAAUGAGCCGAUGUCGGAUUAGCUAGUUGGCGGGGUAAAGGCCCACCAAGGCGACGAUCCGUAGCUGGUCUGAGAGGAUGAUCAGCCACACUGGAACUGAGACACGGUCCAGACUCCUACGGGAGGCAGCAGUGGGGAAUAUUGGACAAAGGGCGCAAGCCUGAUCCAGCCAUACCGCGUGGGUGAAGAAGGCCUUCGGGUUGUAAAGCCCUUUUGUUGGGAAAGAAAAGCAGCAGGUUAAUACCCCGCUGUUCUGACGGUACCCAAAGAAUAAGCACCGGCUAACUUCGUG